RNAcentral lists this ribosomal RNA (447 nucleotides) under uncultured bacterium. RNAcentral describes it as "bacterial SSU rRNA". It matches the Rfam family "Bacterial small subunit ribosomal RNA", at positions 330 to 793 of the family's 1533-position model. The record is from RNAcentral.
UCCAGACUCCUACGGGAGGCAGCAGUGGGGAAUAUUGCACAAUGGGGGAAACCCUGAUGCAGCAACGCCGCGUGAGUGAAGAAGUAUUUCGGUAUGUAAAGCUCUAUCAGCAGGGAAGAAGAUGACGGUACCUGAUUAAGAAGCCCCGGCUAACUACGUGCCAGCAGCCGCGGUAAUACGUAGGGGGCAAGCGUUAUCCGGAUUUACUGGGUGUAAAGGGAGCGCAGACGGCAGUGCAAGUCUGGAGUGAAAGGCCGGGGCCCAACCCCGGGACUGCUCUGGAAACUAUUCAACUUGAGUGCAGGAGAGGUAAGCGGAAUUCCUAGUGUAGCGGUGAAAUGCGUAGAUAUUAGGAGGAACACCAGUGGCGAAGGCGGCUUACUGGACUGUAACUGACGUUGAGGCUCGAAAGCGUGGGGAGCAAACAGGAUUAGAUACCCCUGUAAG